Molecule: long non-coding RNA, 712 nt
Organism: Homarus americanus (American lobster)
Lineage: Eukaryota; Metazoa; Arthropoda; Malacostraca; Decapoda; Nephropidae
Exons: 5
Source: RefSeq, a predicted model, not a curated record
GAGGGUGUGUGUGGGGGAGGUCCUCCCAUACACACACCCUCACUCCCAUCCAUACACUCACCCUCUCUCACACACCCAACCUCCCACCUUUAAUGUGUGUGGAUGGGACUAAGGUUUUCUCAUUUCUUUCAGAUUGUGCGCCUCCGAGGUGAACGUCUGACUGAAGUGAACGUGUGGCUGGUCGAGAACUCCUCCAAACAGGUAAAGUACUUAUGACAAUAUAUAAUGUCUAUAUGCAAGUAUUUAUGAAUGUUAUGUUUUAAAGUUUUUUGUAUUCCAGGUUUGUUUGUGUGGCUGACUGGACCUACUACAAGGUGCUUCUUGCAGGUAAUAAAGAUACAUCAGUGAUGGUGAGGCCGUCACAUUACCAGCGGUUGUGGAUUUCUCAAUUCAACCUUUAUAUUGCAGACUCCACAUAAGGUAAAACACUUCCAUUCAGCAAUUGGUGUGCAGUGUCCAGAUUGUCAACAUUUAGUUCAGUAUGAUGUUACUUCUGGCCAGCUUAACCUGAGGAGAAAGUCAGUACAGUACACGAUUAGAUUUUGAAAAGGAAACUGCAAAAUCUCAUGUUGUUCUCCCGACCUCCGUAAAGUGUCAUUAAUGCAAGAACGAAUGUAAGUGUCGCCAAGACCAACACAUGUGGUAACUCCAACGAGAACCAGGCCAAUAAGGUAAGAAAUAAGGGAUUCCAACAUAUGGUGAGUCUGUUAGA